AACAAGAGACCCAAAGUGAAGCUCACCAACAACAAUUCUAAGUCAUGAUCUUCACAUUCAAUUGAAUGUAAUGAGAGAUACAUAUACUGUAUAUGCUAAAAUGUUUCAUCUUGCAAGUCAAUCAUUGGGAUCUAAUAAACAUCACCCAAAUACUUCAAAUCUAUAGAAAUAUUACAAGGAUGUUGUUUCUCUGACAUCUAUGAAAUCUGAUUUGAUUGCUCCAAAAUCCAGCAAUACAAUAUAAUAUUUAAUCAAAGAAAUCACACUCGUUUAAAGAUUUAUGGUAGUCUAUUGUUUUGAUAAACAGUUGAGAAAAAUAUAACAAAGAAGCUAGGCAAACAAAUAUAUGUCUUCACCAAAGACUUCAUUUUUGCAAUACCUUCAAUGAUGUUGUUUGAAAUAAGUUUUGUUGUUAUGUUCAUAUGGAUUUAAAGGUGAUGAAAUGUCAUAGGAAGUUUUGAUAAAAGAAAAAAAAA
RNAcentral lists this long non-coding RNA (476 nucleotides) under Medicago truncatula (barrel medic). Its description in RNAcentral is "long non-coding RNA (MTRU_LNC003992)". The record is from RNAcentral. Lineage: Eukaryota; Viridiplantae; Streptophyta; Magnoliopsida; Fabales; Fabaceae.